AAGAGUAAAGUACUUCCGCUUCCUUAGGUGGAGCUGGAAAGGUGGAGGCGGAAGUGACUGAUCAAUUCAGGGGCGUGGGGUUCGUUUAGGUUUUGCCCUGUGUAUGACCUCGUUUGGAGCCAUGAAACCAGGUGGCUUUUCUACAAUAUAAAGAUGGAAAUGGGAAGAAGAUGUUCAUUGCAAAUUAAGGAAGCUCUUCCACGAGUUCACGAAUGGAAAUAACAUCAAGAGUUUUUCAUCUUCUUAGUGUGCAAGAACACAGCAUAGUAUGUGACAUAAAGGCUUGAUGACUGUGUUGAAUGAAUGUAUGUUGUUAUUUUAGGGCAAUGAUGGAAAGCACCAAGUGGAGUCUGGAGCUAGACUGAUCUGUGUUCAAUCCUGUCUUGGUUACUCAUUGGGGGGCCUCGACUUUCAUGUCUCUGUAAUGUCCCUGACAGUAUCUGCCUCACAGGGUUGCUGUGAGAGUCAAGCGAGAUAAAUAUCAAGGAGUGCAAUUCCUGGAUUUAUGAUGUCUGAGGAAUAGUCUUAGUGGAUUAUCCCAAACUUGACACAUUUUUUGCAAAAUGCUAUACAAAAAGAAGAUACAUGCGAUUAUGACAAGAUUCUCCACUUGGUGUGACCAGUCUCAUACAACCCAAGGCUGUGUGUCCAAAGGCAACUGUACUGAAUACCGGAAAGCAUGUAUUUGUUUGCUAAAUUGCUCUCUUUCCACCAGUGAUAUCAAUUCUGAAAUACUUUUGAGAUCUUGACAAUAAUCAAAAGGUAGCCAGGUGCAUCGGGGAAAGCACUGACAUUGGAGUCAGACAGACUGAAGUUCAUAUCUGAUUCUGCUAUAUGACAACGUGUGGGCUAUGUGGCUAACUUCUCAGAGCUUCAGUUUUCUCAAGGGCAAAAUGAAAAUAAUAGAAAUAAUAGAAUCCACCUCACAGGGCUGUGGUGAGAAUUGGAGAUGAAGCACAUACAGCAUAUUACAUCAACUAAACACAUGCUAAAAAUUAAAGGGGAUGAAAGAUACAUUGGUCCCUGCAGUGGGAAGUUUCCUUGACAAUGCAAUUAUUGAUUCCAGAAGGCUGAACAAAUGUUGACAGAGGAACACACUGUUUGCUUAUGUCUAAUCUUCCCAUCUGACUUAUAUAAAUGUCACAAAUGAAUCUCAGACAUGUGCCCAAUAUCAAAUAUCCAUACGAUGGCCCUGGAAAGAGGCAAUCUACAUUUAUGGCUGAUGAGAAGAUGGAUUUUUAGCUUGAAAGAAACUUAUUACUGGGGAGAGGAAGUAUAAAUGAAUGGAGAGAGCUAUGAAGAGGUUGAGAGAAUACAGCCAAGGCACAUGACAGAAUUGCUCUGUUGAAGUUUUGCAAGGUCAAAUGACUCACUUUGUCUAAUGGAACGGGAACGAACAAUUUUUUUGUGUCACGUUUGAACAGAUACCUUUGAGAAGUUUAUGAUUCUCCAAGUUCUCUUUCUCCUACUGUGGCACCUACUGACAAGAUAAAUGUGUAGAGGUUCCUGAGUCUAGGGGUGAGUCUUGCAUAUCUGAUGAAUCCACCAGUAAAAGUACCACUGCUGAAAUCACGCAAAUAUAUUUUUUUAGACCUUAUCAACCUUGGCAUGGAAUUAGAUGAGCAAAAAGCUGAGUUGAAUUGAUGAAAAGAAUCCCAAGUCAUUAAUUACUAAUGAUGGAGCUUGUAAAGUACAGCAUCACUGGGGAAAGCAACUGACUUUCCUCAUACACAUUAUAUUUUUAUCUGAAUUUCAAUACUGCUUAAAUAUGUACUUCAUUACAGGGCACAACUAAAAUAGAAGGGCACCUGCUAAGUCAGAGCCAUAAAACAGAUCUACAGCCUGCUGGCAUGUGAAAUUUCUCUAAUUUAUAUUUUUUAUGAAACUACCCUCACAUUAUGUGGUUGGCAGCAUAAAUAAUAAAGCAUGUUACUGAAGCAAUUUUACAUUUACUGUAUUAGUAAGUAAAUGCAAUGGCCACUCUUAUUCUCAAAUAAAAACUACCCAGCCUUUUCAUGAAAGAUGUUUGCAAUUUCCAUUGGCCUGUAUAUGCAAUAAAAAGCCAUAACUCAUCAAAA
This 2078-nucleotide long non-coding RNA is filed under the name Homo sapiens (human). Its description in RNAcentral is "PREDICTED lncRNA (TCONS_00005032)". The record is from RNAcentral. Lineage: Eukaryota; Metazoa; Chordata; Mammalia; Primates; Hominidae.